Long non-coding RNA from Girardinichthys multiradiatus, 682 nucleotides. RefSeq lists it as uncharacterized. The record is from RefSeq and is a predicted model, not a curated record. Lineage: Eukaryota; Metazoa; Chordata; Actinopteri; Cyprinodontiformes; Goodeidae. The transcript is spliced from 4 exons.
GGGAACAGUUGGUGAAGGCUUUCAGUCUGAGGGGUUAUCUUGACUGUUUAUAUAAUUUCAUGAUGUCGCUGUUCCAUGGGAGUCAUUAAGGGGACAUGUACGUUUUGUGCAUUCUCUUCUAAUGGGCAAGGAAGAAUUGUACAGCAUUACAAGGAGCGUCACGGACGUUAUCGGAGAACCUAGAUGUACAGAAGAAAGGAUCAGCUCUACAGCUCCUGGACAAGUUGAUGACUGCAACAUUCUCACAGCGAAGGAAAUAAAUAAUUACUAAUGAACCCCACAUCUCUACUGUCUGCAAAAGAUGGCCUGCUUUGUUUUAGUUCAGCAGAAUUGUCAAUAAAGACCUGUUGGAAUCGUUCAUGGAUGGACUGGAUGCAUUGGUGCCAAGGAGGAGCAGGAGAAGCAGAGAGGAGAGACCCUGCUGUCUGGACUUGUAAAGCUCCAGAGAUUGCCUGAGGAAGUUACAGUUUUGGGCUUUAUGAGGAAGUUUUUGUCUCAGCCAUGGCAAUAAUGAGGACAAGGACUUUAAAGCGCAACAUCGCAGACUUUUGACCAUGGUGAAGUAAGUUAUAGGUUGGAUAUUCGUGCUCCACGGAUUCAGCGGGCUGUCCUCCUGUUUGAUCUGAUGUAAGCAAUUUAAUAACGGACAACUGUUCUCCUGCAGACGGUGGUUCUCUUAAGG